RNAcentral lists this ribosomal RNA (255 nucleotides) under uncultured bacterium. Its description in RNAcentral is "partial 16S ribosomal RNA". It matches the Rfam family "Bacterial small subunit ribosomal RNA", at positions 524 to 776 of the family's 1533-position model. The record is from RNAcentral.
UACGAAGGGGGCUAGCGUUGCUCGGAAUGACUGGGCGUAAAGGGCGCGUAGGCGGUUCGUACAGUCAGACGUGAAAUUCCCCGGGCUCGAACCUGGGGGCUGCGUUUGAUACGUGCGGGCUUGAGUUCGGAAGAGGGUCGUGGAAUUCCCAGUGUAGAGGUGAAAUUCGUAGAUAUUGGGAAGAACACCGGUGGCGAAGGCGGCGACCUGGUCCGAUACUGACGCUGAGGCGCGAAAGCGUGGGGAGCAAACAGG